This 429-nucleotide ribosomal RNA is filed under the name Gemmatimonadota bacterium. RNAcentral describes it as "Gemmatimonadetes bacterium partial 16S ribosomal RNA". It matches the Rfam family "Bacterial small subunit ribosomal RNA", at positions 355 to 776 of the family's 1533-position model. Lineage: Bacteria; Pseudomonadati; Gemmatimonadota. The record is from RNAcentral.
UAGGGAAUCUUCGGCAAUGGACGAAAGUCUGACCGAGCAACGCCGCGUGAGUGAAGAAGGAUUUCGGAUCGUAAAACUCUGUUGUUAGAGAAGAACAAGGACGUUAGUAACUGAACGUCCCCUGACGGUAUCUAACCAGAAAGCCACGGCUAACUACGUGCCAGCAGCCGCGGUAAUACGAAGGUGGCAAGCGUUGUCCGGAUUUAUUGGGCGUAAAGCGAGCGCAGGCGGUUUCUUAAGUCUGAUGUGAAAGCCCCCGGCUCAACCGGGGAGGGUCAUUGGAAACUGGGAGACUUGAGUGCAGAAGAGGAGGGUGGAAUUCCAUGUGUAGCGGUGAGAUGCGUAGAUAUAUGGAGGAACACCAGUGGCGAAGGCGGCUCUCUGGUCUGUAACUGACGCUGAGGCUCGAAAGCGUGGGGAGCAAACAGG